Long non-coding RNA from Vespula pensylvanica (western yellowjacket), 814 nucleotides. RefSeq lists it as uncharacterized. Lineage: Eukaryota; Metazoa; Arthropoda; Insecta; Hymenoptera; Vespidae. The transcript has 2 exons. The record is from RefSeq and is a predicted model, not a curated record.
UUUUUUUUUGAGACCUAGACGUAGGAGAGAAAAAACGCGCGAGAGUUUUGUAAUCGUGAGCGACGUACAUUUUCUUUUUUCUCCAAUUAAAUUUAUUUUUUUUUUUAUUUCUCUUUCUUUUUCGAACCUAUUAAAGUUCUCACUUAGAAGAAAUUGAAACGAGAAUAAGAGUGUAUAAUAUAUAUUUAUCCGAAGGUUAUAUCUUUAAAAUGAUUAAAUUAGAUAGAAACGAGUCGGAAUUUCUCAUCCUAGCAGUAUCUUUUAUUAUUCAUUUUUGUUUUACGACCGGCCGCAAAAGGUCUUCUCGUUAAUAGUAAUGUGACUACAAACGAGAUUACGGAAAGUUAAUUAUAGUAUCGUAAAGGUAAACGUUCAAAUGUGGAAGUAAGUAAAAGUAAUAGUAAUAGUGUUAGUUACUAAUAAUGACUUUUUCCAAUUACUAUUCGUCUUCUUUGAAGGUAAAGGAAAAAGGACUAAAGAAAGAAAGAAAAAAAAAAAAAAACAGAAAAAAAAGAGAACGAAGUAGAAAAGCAACGCGUUCGAGAAUACUUAUACACGGUGCAUCUUCAGGAGCUAGCUGAAAAGGAGAGAAAAGAGUAAAGGAAGGAAGAGUAGGAACAGGAUCGGAGGAUAGUCCCGUAUAAGAUGGCUUCAUCAAUCUUCGGCAAGGGGAUGACGGUAACACCCGGAGGAGGAAACGUUCUCGCGGUUCUUUAUCCACGAAACCUUCCCUAGUAUGCAUUACGCUAAUGCUAACGCAAGCUCUGUCUACGUAGAUGAAAUACAGCCAGAACGUUCACUGCCAUCUCAAGUA